GGAGCUGUGACUCAGUGGCAGAGCAUCUGCCUUUCAUGCAGAAGGGCCCCGGUUUGAUCCCCGGCAACUCCA
This 72-nucleotide transfer RNA is filed under the name Sphaerodactylus townsendi. Its description in RNAcentral is "tRNA-Glu". It matches the Rfam family "tRNA". Rfam says of the family: Transfer RNA (tRNA) molecules are approximately 80 nucleotides in length. Their secondary structure includes four short double-helical elements and three loops (D, anti-codon, and T loops). Lineage: Eukaryota; Metazoa; Chordata; Lepidosauria; Squamata; Sphaerodactylidae. The record is from RNAcentral.